AGGACGAACGCUGGCGGCGUGCUUAACACAUGCAAGUCGAGCGGUAAGGCCCUUUCGGGGGUACACGAGCGGCGAACGGGUGAGUAACACGUGAGCAAUCUGCCCUUCACUUCGGGAUAAGCCUCGGAAACGGGGUCUAAUACCGGAUAUGACUGCGCCAUGCAUGUGGUGUGGUGGAAAGUUCUGGCGGUGAGGGAUGAGCUCGCGGCCUAUCAGCUUGUUGGUGGGGUAAUGGCCUACCAAGGCUUCGACGGGGUAGCCGGCCUGAGAGGGUGACCGGCCACACUGGGACUGAGACACGGCCCAGACUCCUACGGAGGCAGCAGUGGGAAUAUUGGACAAUGGGACGAAAGCCUGAUCCAG
This 363-nucleotide ribosomal RNA is filed under the name uncultured soil bacterium. RNAcentral's name for it is "bacterial SSU rRNA". It matches the Rfam family "Bacterial small subunit ribosomal RNA", at positions 26 to 391 of the family's 1533-position model. The record is from RNAcentral.